CAAUGAUCUGUCCUUUAGGGUUUAAAAGCGCAUCCCAGGAGCAAGUCUUUCAUUCUCCAUGAAGUUCUGAGCUGCGAGAGUCCAGCAACUCUCUGAACCCAGGCAGCCUGUGAGUAACUGCACAGCCAGGAAGCAGCUGCUUUCAAGAGGAUGAAGCCGAUGAGCUUGUGAUGCAUGGAGAGUGGAAAUGCAGCUGCCACGGGAAGGAUGCACCAUGUGAAGACAGGACCUCCACCGUCAGAUGGAGAUGCUUUGUCCCUGGACCUUGGAUUAUAAUAUCUGAAAACCUAGGAGAGCAGGUGUAAUCAUCUUGAUGACUACAGUUAGCCAUCUAUAAAACUGGGAGAGAUGUGGCCCCGUGGAGCGGAGCAGUGGGCAGGAGCCACACAGAUGCAUCACUCAGUUCUGGCUGUCUAAACAUCUUAAGCUUAAAGCUACAUUCCCUCAGAAGUGAGAAUACCUUUACCCACUAAUAAAACUAAGUGCGGCUUUUAUUUGGUAUGACGGCAGUGUUACCAGUCAGGAUAAUGGUUGUGUAUCGCUGCUGAUAAUGACCUCCCGAUGCUGAAGAGGGAACAUCCUGGCAGGAAGCAGAGGAGCAGACCCCUGAUUCCCCCUGCAGACAGGACAGGUGAAGCUCCUAAACAAAGAUAAGCUGGGACACGUAUGGAGGCAGAGGGCGCGGGCUCCCAGCCGGGACACGCAUGGAGGCAGAGGGCGCGGGCUCCCAGCCGGGACACGCAUGGAGGCAGAGGGCACGGGUUCCCAGCCCAGCCGAGCUACACACGGAAGAGCAGCAACCUGCAGCUGAAGACUCAAACAUCUGGGGUCUGAGAAGAGGGGUCAGCGUUUCCAGGAAAAACACUUAAGGGAAAUGCUGCAAAGUAAUAAAAAUUGGAUGUAGCUUGGUAUUCAGUAUAUAAACUUCAGAGAUAUCAUCUCAUCAUGGUUAUCAUUAGACAAAUACGGAAACUGAGAAGCUAAAUGGCUUUGUAAAGAGAGCGUGAAUAGUUUUAAAAUGUCAAAACAGGCAAUCUGGCUUGUAGUUCUGAUAUUAAUAUUUCACCCACAGAUUUUAAUACGUUAGAAAAUUUCUGCUUAAGAUACACAUGUAUAAUAUUUCCUCUGAUGUUAUAUUCUUUAAUGCAGUUUAAUUCUAAACACUUACUGAAUGUCUACUAUGUGCAUCCAAUCUGCUAAGAGCAUGUUUCUAAAUCUGCCUGACUAUAAGAUUUAGCAAUGAUACACUGAAAGUAUAAAUUCAUGUGCUUCAGUUAUGGGUAAAGAAUCAAAGAUUUGAGCAUAGAGACUUAUUUAAUUAUGUAAUAAAUAUUGCAGGUGACUUCAUAAUCUAGAAGUUCAGGGAGACAUGGUCUCUAAAAUUCCCCAGCUUUCUUUAGAGUACCUGGAGGGCUUUAAAAUUCCAAAGUGCCUUUGGCCCCAGCCCCCUGUGGUCACUCCAGCUGAGACAGCAUUGGCUUACUUUGGGGUGCCUUUGCAUUUGGUUUUACUUUAAUUCAUGUACUUCAGGGAUAGAAGAAGGUUUCGAGACUUCUUUUUUAUGCCAUUCAUUGUGGAAUUCAAGGAAAUAUCAUGGAAAAAUACCAUUCAAAAAUUUACAUUAAUGCAUAUUAAAAAUCUGUCACAUCACAAGUACUUCUUAAGUUUAUCAAAGUGAUUAGAUUAUUAUUUAUAUUUUAUCAAUGUAAGUUUUGAAAUAUAAGAAAUGUGCUUAGACUCCUAGGACUUGAAAAGUAUACAAAUACUACAGCUAUAUUUGAGCCAAGUGUGUUAGUACACAACUACAGCGUCAGCAUUGGGGGUGGGGGCCAGGAGGAUACGAAGUAGAAGUACAGGGUUAUCCUCGGUUACACAGAAAUUUGAAGCCUGCAUGGCUACACAAGACUGUCUUAAAAAGAAAAAUCGUAAACAAAUAAGCAAGCACAAACCUAGAUUGCUUGAACGUGAAAUCUAAGCCUUUGUUAUUUUGGUGACGCACUCUGGAUGUGUCUGGUGCCCGCAGAGACGAUGUCUUGUUACAUACAGAAUCGCCUAAAUGUGUGAAGGGGGCAAGUGAAUCAAGAAAACCACAUUGACAUUUUUCCACAUAAAGGACUGGAAUGAAGAACAGAAAGGCAAGAGAUAAAAAUCUGGGCUGUGAGGUGGGCGAGAGGAGCAUGCACACAAGCAGCGAAAACUAACUCUGCCGAGAGAGGCUGUAACUCUGCCGAGAGAGGCUGCGGAGCCUCAGCCUCUGACCACUGAGGUGAACGGGUCAGGCAGAGCAGGGCUCUUUUAGAAUGGAAAACCUUACAUAUGGAAAACAUGAAAGAAAACCACCUUGGAUUGGAGAAUCAGAGCUUAAAUAUUUACCUAGGCUUUGGAGGUUAAACUUUUUUCAAUUUUCAUCUUGCUCGUUUCUGUUAAUAUAUUACCCUAAAUUAUAUAGGGCGUAUUGAGGUCAAUGCCAUAAUUCCCAAGGAGUCCUGAAACUGCUGAACAGUCAUUGUGCUGGGACUUUAAGAGCACAGGGCAAUGUUUGUUUUUCCCAGCAAGUGAAAUUCCAGAGCUUCUUGACUAGACAAACAGUGCAAACAUUUAUCCUCAAAAAAAAAAAAAAAAAAAAAAUGCUUCAACAGACGUUGCAUCUAGAAUCUUAGUUCAGCAACACAAUUUUAGUACUUUUUUGAACAACCAGAGAAUAUAGUUGGGUGUUGGCUGCCUAAAAAUAGCUUGUCUCUCUUACUACAUGAAGGAGUUAUACUUAUUAUCAUAGGUCUUCUAAACGGAACAGCCAUUGGAAAAUAGCAUAUGAGAACAUAAAUAAGGGAGACAGGAAAGCCUUGACUCUAGAAACAUUGGUUGUGAUGAGUUACUUAACACAGAGCCUGAGAUAGAACUGCCACUUAGAUUAUGUUUCUACACAGCAUAUAGUUUAUCAUAUCCACAAUCACUAAACUGUGAUAAACACUAAGGAAACUCUGUAGAGUUACUUUGCAUGUGAUUGAAUGAAAUACAUGCAAUAAAAUUUCAACAUUAUCAAUAUAUUGUGAAGAUAGGAAUUCCUUUGUCCUUUAAUUAUUGCUUAGGCAUCAAAUGUGUUCCGUGCUGUGUGCUAAUAAUACUGUGCAAGCAAGGUAGGUGCUCCCUACACUCAAUCAAUAAUCACACAUGCAUGUAACUGAUAUGAUAAAUACACCGGUGUGUCUGCUAAGAAGUCCUCAGUUUUGAGGAGGAAUAUUUUAAUUGAACAACUUUUUAUAGACACGAAAAAAGUUAAAUAGUUAAGAAAGUCUAUUUAAAUUCAAACCUAUGUGAAUCUAUGUGGGGAAGUUAAUUUAUAACCGUAGAAUUGUAUCUUAACAGAAAAAUAAAUGCUAGCUUAUAUAAUAAAUAUUGUAGAUGUGAAUAUCUGUUUAAAUUUUGAUAAAGUAUGGAAAACUAUUGAUGAAUACACACACACACAUACACUCUCUCACACACAUAUAUAUUCUUUAUUAGAAUUUUACUGCUGUGAAAAGGCACCAUGAGCAAGAAACUCUUAUAAAAGAAAACAUUUAACUGUGGCUGGUUUACAGUUUCAGAGGUUUAGUCCAUUAUGCUAUUGUCAUGGUGGGACACAGGGCAGCACGCAGGCAGAGGCAGUGCUGGAGAAGGAGCUGAGAGUUGUACAUCUGGAGAGCAGUCAGCAGGAAGUGAAUGCUACACUGGCCAUGGCUUGAGCAUGUGAAGCCUCACCCGGCCCCAAGUGACACACUUUUUCUCUAAAAGGCCACACUUACACCAACAGGCAGAGGUGUCAUUCUAUGUCUCCUCUCUGUAUAAAAUCUGAAGUGUAAGUAAUCUGCACUUGGAAAUUGUAUAUGAAAUAUUAGCACACUUAAGGUUUGUGCAUGGAGGAAGACAAUUACCUUCCUGGAUAGAUGGGUAAAGGUUAUUAUUUUAUCUCAGUGUCUGGCAAAGCUUCAGUAGCUCAGCAGAGGAAGACACAAUAGAAAUAAUGAUUUGUCAAAGCUUUAUGUCAAUUUCUCCACUAAACUGUCAGUUCAGUUGUCUAAUAGAGAGGAAUACACACAAAAUAUGAGACAUUUUAUAAUGUUAAAUAUAUACAUUUAAUAAAUGACAGAAAGUUAAUACUAAAUGGAUUUGUUAUUUGCAAAAUUGGAAAUAGUUUGGUUAUUCUAAGGACAUUUGUAACAUUACUAAUUUUUAAAAUGCCAAUAAAUUUAUCUCUUUAACCUAAUAAGUAAAAACCGUUGGUGUAAUUAUAACUGAAAACUUCCUUGGAUUUGUAUUUGUUUGUCACUCAGAACCUGAGUAUAUUCAACCUAGUGACCCACAGAACUACAUUUAUUUACCCAAGCUUCUAGAAAGUUAUAGUAGAAAGCUAUUUUUUCUUUUCUUUUUAAAAAUUUUCUAUAUUCUUUGUUUACAUUCCAAAUUAUUUCCCCUUUUCCAGUUCUCCCCUCCCCAUAUGUCCCAUAAGCCUUCUUCUCUCCACCCAUUCUCCAAACACCUCCCUCCUUUUUCUCUGUCCUGGUAAUCCCCUACAAUGCUGGAUCAAGCCUUUCCCAGAUCAGGGCCCUCUCCUUACUUCUUCAUGGGAGUCAUUUGUUAUUCUAAUUGUGUCUUGGGUAUUCAGAGCUUCUGGGCUAAUUAAAAUCCACUUAUCAGUGACUGCAUUCCAUGUGUAUUCUUUUGUGAUUGGGUUACCUCACUUAGGAUUUUGCUUAAGAAUUUCAUGAAUUCAUUGUUUUCAAUUGCUGAGUAGUAUUCUGUUGUGUAAAUAUACCAUAUUUUCUGUAUCCAUUCCUCCAUUGAGGGACAUCUGGGUUCUUUCCAGCU
This is a long non-coding RNA of Apodemus sylvaticus (European woodmouse), 4845 nucleotides long. RefSeq lists it as uncharacterized. NCBI's taxonomy places the organism in Eukaryota, Metazoa, Chordata, Mammalia, Rodentia, Muridae. The record is from RefSeq and is a predicted model, not a curated record. The transcript is spliced from 4 exons.